This 106-nucleotide ribosomal RNA is filed under the name Rosa chinensis. The record is from RNAcentral. Lineage: Eukaryota; Viridiplantae; Streptophyta; Magnoliopsida; Rosales; Rosaceae.
GGGUGCGAUCAUACCAGCAAUAUGCACCGAUCCAUCAGAAUCCGAGUUAGCUUGCUGGCGAGAGCAGUACUAGGAUGGUGACCCCUGGAGUCUCGUGUUGCACCCU